This 1296-nucleotide ribosomal RNA is filed under the name Bacillus sp. (in: firmicutes). Its description in RNAcentral is "Bacillus sp. (in: Bacteria) partial 16S ribosomal RNA". It matches the Rfam family "Bacterial small subunit ribosomal RNA", at positions 108 to 1390 of the family's 1533-position model. The record is from RNAcentral. Lineage: Bacteria; Bacillati; Bacillota; Bacilli; Caryophanales; Bacillaceae.
GAGUAACACGUGGGUAACCUGCCCAUAAGACUGGGAUAACUCCGGGAAACCGGGGCUAAUACCGGAUAACAUUUUGAACCGCAUGGUUCGAAAUUGAAAGGCGGCUUCGGCUGUCACUUAUGGAUGGACCCGCGUCGCAUUAGCUAGUUGGUGAGGUAACGGCUCACCAAGGCAACGAUGCGUAGCCGACCUGAGAGGGUGAUCGGCCACACUGGGACUGAGACACGGCCCAGACUCCUACGGGAGGCAGCAGUAGGGAAUCUUCCGCAAUGGACGAAAGUCUGACGGAGCAACGCCGCGUGAGUGAUGAAGGCUUUCGGGUCGUAAAACUCUGUUGUUAGGGAAGAACAAGUGCUAGUUGAAUAAGCUGGCACCUUGACGGUACCUAACCAGAAAGCCACGGCUAACUACGUGCCAGCAGCCGCGGUAAUACGUAGGUGGCAAGCGUUAUCCGGAAUUAUUGGGCGUAAAGCGCGCGCAGGUGGUUUCUUAAGUCUGAUGUGAAAGCCCACGGCUCAACCGUGGAGGGUCAUUGGAAACUGGGAGACUUGAGUGCAGAAGAGGAAAGUGGAAUUCCAUGUGUAGCGGUGAAAUGCGUAGAGAUAUGGAGGAACACCAGUGGCGAAGGCGACUUUCUGGUCUGUAACUGACACUGAGGCGCGAAAGCGUGGGGAGCAAACAGGAUUAGAUACCCUGGUAGUCCACGCCGUAAACGGAGGAGUGCUAAGUGUUAGAAGGUUUCCGCCCUUUAGUGCUGAAGUUAACGCAUUAAACACUCCGCCUGGGGAGUACGGCCGCAAGGGUGGAAAUUAAAGGAAUUGGCGGGGGGCCGGCCCAGGGGUUGGGGCAGUGGUUUAAUUUGGAGGCAAGGGGAGGACCUUUCCCGGUUUUGGCCUUCUUUGGCCACCCUUGGGGUUGGGGUUUUUCUUUGGGGGCCGAGGGCCGGUGGGGGCAGGUUGUUGUUAGGUUGGGUUGGGGGGAGGUGGGGUUAGUUCCGGCACGGGGGCCACCCUUGGUUUUUGGUGCCCUCCAUUAAGUGGGCCAUUUUAGGGGGAUUCCGGGGGCCAACCGGGGGGAGGGGGGGGAGGAGUUAAAUUCUUCUUCCCCUUAUGGCCUGGGGUUCCCCCGGGGUUCCAAGGGCGGUUCCAAGGAGUGCAGGCCGGGGGGGGGGAGUUAUUUUAUUAAACCGUUUUCCGGUUGGGAUGUUGGGUGGCACUUGCCUUCCAGGGAGGUGGGAUUGGUUGGUAUUGGGGGUUCGCCAGCCGGGGGGGAAUCGGUUCCGGGCCUUGGUCCCCC